AAAAACAUAGCCUUUAUAUUAAUUAAAGGUGAUGCCUGCCCAGUGAAGGGGUCUUAAAAAUUUUAAUAAUGUUUUAAUUUCCUUUAAACGGAUGCGGUAACUCUGACUGUAAUAAAGUAGCAUAAUAAAUUGUCAUUUAAUUGGUGGAGAGAAUGAAUGGCUAAACGAAUGUUUCAUUGUCUUGGGGGAAAUAUUUUGAAAUUAGAAUGAUAGUGAAGAUCCUAUCUGACACCGUUAGACGAAAAGACCCUAUAGAGCUUGACUAUACCUCAGAAAAAAAAUUUUCUGGGUUGGUAGUUUAGUUGGGGCGACUAUCUUUUAUAAAAAACAAAGAUAAGCAUGAUAAUAUUCAAAUAAUUUUAUUGUUUAAUUAAUUUAUUUAACAAUUACAAAUGUAGGCUAUAAUGACCCAUUAGGAUUUUAAUAGAUCUAAUGAUUAAUAAAUAAAAGCUACCUUAGGGAAACAGGAUAAUUUUGUUUUAGAGAUCUAAUCAAGUACAAAGUUUGUCACCUCGAUG
This 518-nucleotide ribosomal RNA is filed under the name Ectopleura sp. JRH-2014. RNAcentral's name for it is "partial 16S ribosomal RNA". It matches the Rfam family "Bacterial large subunit ribosomal RNA", at positions 1809 to 2531 of the family's 2925-position model. Lineage: Eukaryota; Metazoa; Cnidaria; Hydrozoa; Anthoathecata; Tubulariidae. The record is from RNAcentral.